RNAcentral lists this ribosomal RNA (198 nucleotides) under uncultured Bifidobacterium sp. RNAcentral describes it as "partial 16S rRNA". Lineage: Bacteria; Bacillati; Actinomycetota; Actinomycetes; Bifidobacteriales; Bifidobacteriaceae. The record is from RNAcentral.
GGUGUUCUUCCCGAUAUCUACACAUUCCACCGUUACACCGGGAAUUCCAGUCUCCCCUACCGCACUCCAGCCCGCCCGUACCCGGCGCAGACCCACCGUUAAGCGAUGGGCUUUCACACCGGACGCGACGAACCGCCUACGAGCCCUUUACGCCCAAUAAUUCCGGAUAACGCUUGCACCCUACGUAUUACCGCGGCU